AUCAUUCAUCGUAUCGCAUCAUUCAUCAUAUCGUAUCAUUCAUCGUAUCGCAUCAUUCAUCGUAUCGCAUCAUUCAUCAUAUCGUAUCAUUCAUCGUAUCGCAUCAUUCAUCGUAUCGCAUCAUUCAUUGUAUCGCAUCAUUCCUCGUAUCGCAUCAUUCCUCGUAUCGUAUCAUUCAUCGUAUCGCGCCAUUCAUCAUAUCGUAUCAUUCAUCGUAUCGCAUCAUUCAUCGUAUCGUCUCUCGUCGUUUCGCUCAUCAGGCUCAGGCUUCGCUGAAACUCAAAGGUUAAAACGGCGUCAGGCUGAACUUCCUGCAGAGCUUCAGUUUCAACUUCUGGUUUGAAUUUCUUUGUCUUUAUUUGCUGAAAGGUUUUAUGGAGCUGCAGCUUUAAUCCCAGUAAGUUCCUCCUGAACUCCUUCUGCCCAGUUAGAGUCCUGCUGGUCCCAGUUUGCUUCCUGUCCGGCGGUGCUGCAGCGUACCUGAGUGAACCUGCAGAGGUGACCCCUCCCCGCGCCGCCUCCGCCGGGUCGCCGUGGGAACGUUUGAAGUGUCUGUAGUUUUCAUUUCGUGUCUCUUUUGGUCGACCUGACGUUUACAUCCAACGCUGCAUGUGACCUGCAUACCGAACGCAGUGGAGGGGAGGAGACGAAGAGACGGACAGGAAGGUGCUGCAGAUGAAGGUUUGAAGCUUCAGCUCUCAAAUGAAAUGAAGUGAAAUCAGUUAGAAGGAAAAAAUGCUGCAGAUCAGCUGAAUCCAUCAUCUUCCACAUUUAAGAUGCUGCAUAAAUAAUUAGAGAUUUCCAGGAACUGAAGCUUUGAAUGUUUCUCCACACAUCAUGUUUUUCCCUAAACUUGUAUCACCAAGCAGCAGCCAGAGCAGCUUCCUCAUCCUCAUCCUCAUCCUCAGAUUGUGUUUGGUUGAACUGUGGAACGCCACAAAGCUGCUUCCUGACAGGAAGUAGACGGUUUGGACCGAGGCGAUACAAGAACUCUGAAAACUGCAAGUCCAAAACCUGAAGGUCACAUGGAGCGCCGGGAAAACUGAUGAGAUUUCAUUUUAGAGAUUUUUGUCAUCAUUGUAGCUCCUUAUGUAGCACAGACCAUCAGCAGCCUGUAAUCUGUUAGCAUCGGCUAACAUUAAACACCUUCAGUUAAACUGCAGUUUGUUUGUUGGUUUGAUCUCUGAAUCACUGAAGUGACAAUAAAUCCUGUUUCUGCUUUUGGGUCUUUAUUUCUGUUUUAUGGACAUUUUGUGUCUCUGACUAAAAACUGUUUUUAUUCUGUUAUUUUGUUUCUCUUUCUGUGGGAAUAAUAAACGUCUUUUCUUCUUCAUGAUUCUUUCUCUCUUUCUCUCUGAAGCUUCACAGAUCCAACGAACCAGGAGAGACGAACAUGACAUCAGUUUACUGGGUUUUCCAGCUGACUAAUCAGAGCUGGGUUGGAGGUUUUCAUCCUGAACAGAAAAUUUACAGUUUUCUGUGGGUCACAGAACCAGAACCCAGAGUCCGGUACCGGCCUGAUGUUCAUCUGGAAGAUGCCAGGAUGAGCCGUUGUGUUACUGACUGGAGGUUGUUUUAUGUGUGUGGGUGUGUGUGUGUGGUCCGGUUCUAAUCCAAUGGAUUCUUUAAAGGUUGGUGUUCAGUGUUUGUUACCAACAUUAAGAUGUUUUUAUCUUUUCCUCAUAAAGAUAAAAACUUGAACUGAUGUCAGAUUCUGUCAAAGGAAACGAAGUUUGAUCUGCUGAGUCACAAAGGAAAGAGACUAAAGAGACGCCUGGUUGGUUCAGACUGAUGUAAGUCCAGGUGUCGGUGUGUGUGUGUGUCAGCGUGUGUGUGUGUGUGUGUGUGUGUUAGUACUAUUAAUUAAACCUGAUAAUUAAUGUGAACUGAUGAUGUUUGACGUGUUAAAACGAGACGUAAGCUGACUCAGCAGAAUGAAGACAUGUUGGAAUAAUGAUCAGAACCGUUUCAGAACCAGGAGUUUUAUGUUGGUUCUGUUUGGAUUAAUUGCCAGAAUCUUGUCAGAACCAACCUGGUGUUUUAAACCUGCUGGCAGAUUUAAGUUUCUGUCUCUUUGUCACAUUUUAGGUAUUAAAGUUUUGAAAUGGAAAAUAUUUAUAUUUUUCUGGGUUUAAAUAUUUGUGCAUCAGUGGUAAACAUGUGAUUAUAUGCGGUUCUGAAGCGAAUCUAGCGGGAACAUGUAACAUAUAAUGAAAGCCUGCCUCUCGGCCGUCCCGGCGCUGGACCAACCGGGUCGGGUCAUUUCGCAGCGACGGCCCAGACGGCUUACAUAAAGCAGACGUUUGUUUGUGCGUUUCUCUGGAACCCGAUUCUCUGCUGUCGCCUCUAAUUGCUGCUCUGCACAAACACUUUUUCUGGUUCUGACCAGUGUUUGCUUCUUCUGUUUAAUUUAUCCUCCUAUUUAUACUCACAGCACUUUACAAAUGCAAACAUGUCGGGUCCAGACUGACACACAGAAAGUGAAUUUUCUCCUCCUCGGUGUUUUCAGCAGAUGAAUGUUUCAUCCUGCGCUGUGAUACCAGAUGUUUAUGUAACCUUAUUUAUUUUUGAUGAUCUGUGAUCAGACAGAUCCUCCUCCAGCCUCACAUCAGAUCAUGGGAGGAAAACAAAACAUCUUUCGGUGCUUGGAGUCGAUCCUUCCUGCUUCAAUCAGGAGCUGCUGAUCAUCUUCAGCUUCCUGCUCCAGGUGUGACGUAACAACGCAAAGCAGUGACCUCAGCUGGUUGUCGCUCCACGGAAGGUCAAAGGUCGUCUCCAAACCACCAUUUUCCAAGAGGAAAACAUCUUUGGAUCUUUAAAAGAUUGGAUGUCCAAACAGAUUUAGCCCAAAGCAGAGUCUACAGGUCUCAGUUAGGGUCAAAGGUUAAAGGUCACCUCAGCCCAGGCAGAAGGAGAGCGCUUCAUGAGGUCUGAUGGAAAAAGGAACCUGAGGCCAGGAAAGCAGGUAAGGAUCUGACCCAAUCAGACAAUGAGAGACAGAAUAACUUCUCCUGUUUUAGUGAAAAGAUGUGACAGAACUGGAUCCAGUCCUCCAGGUUCUGGUCCAGUCCUCCAGGUUCUGGUCCAGUCCUCCAGGUUCUGGUCCAGUUCUGGUCCAGUUCAUGCCUCUCGUCAGGACUCUGGGUUUGGUUUUGAUCUUAUAUCUUAGUUCUCUUGGCCCUUCAUGUCCUUCUGAUUUUGUUAUUUGAGGUAUUCAGAGUUAAAUGUCUUAUUGCUUCUUUAUCAGUGUUUCUAGUUCGGUUUAUUAUUUAGUUGCCUAAGGUUUUGUUCUUGUAAGUGUGAGUCUAUGCUGAGCUUUUUUAGUCAUUAUAGUUUAUUUUUAUUCCUUAUUUCAGCCUCUCUGCAGGUUUCUAGUCAUGUUACCUUUGAGUUAUUUCAUCGCUGUAGGUUCAGUUAUUCUUACCUUCCUUUAGUAAUUCUAGUUAUUUCUUUGUUUAGAUCUUCUAGUUUCUCUAGCUCUACGUUCCUUAGUUCUUAUUAUUGUUAGAUCUUCCUUCUUUCUGUUUAGGUUUGCUCAUGUUCUCCCUCAGGUCUUUUUCUCUUGUAGUUUAUCAGAUUUUCUUUUCUUAGUGUUUCUUUAGUAUUAGAAGUAUUUCCAGCUCCUUGGUGUUUCCUCCAUGUUUUCCCCAGUAGAUCUCUGUAGCUUCUCCGCGCCUCUCAGCUACUUCCUGUGCCACCUGCUCACACCUGCAGUCAUCUCCUCUAGCUGGGCCCAUUGGUCCAUUUACUGCCUCCCAGUACUUAAGCUCCUCUAUCCCAGUCACAACUCGCCAGUCCGUCUUGGUACCUUGCUCACCAUGUUGCUAGUCACUACCUGCGAUUGGACACAGCAGGUCCGAUUGGACCUGCUGCGAUUGGGUCCACUCCUACACACAUCAUGACACCUCCUCCUCCUCCUGCUGUGUUCUGCUGAUUACCGUGACGACGGAGCCGGAACCGGAACCAAGCCGGAUUCUGCUGCUGGUCCAACAGAUUUCUGUUUUCAUCCAAGCCACGGUCUAGACGCUUUCAGAGAAAGAAUCUGAGCUUCCUCUGAAAGGUCACGGGGUCAAAGGGUCAUAUUAGUUAAUGAUGAACCAACAGUAGGAGAAACUCUUCACCACCUUCAGUCACAUCCUGAACAUCAUCACAGGUCUGGGACGUCGCCAUGACUCCCAAACGCCCUUUGACCUGAACCUGGAAGGACGGAGCGAUAAAAUCAAACAUUUAAUUCCAGGAGAGUUCAAGGCCAUCUGUAUUUCCGCCAACAGAAAUAUUACUAGAUGAGGUCCACAGAGCUUCCUGUCCCAUUCAGUUCUGGUUCUGUACUGACCCAAACGUUCCUCUGUUCCAGUUUCAGCCAGUCCUCCCAGUUUCCCAGAGAUCAUCAAACUGCUGUGAUAACUCAUGAGUCAGAUGAAUGCUUCAGCAUAAAUCAUUUUACUUUUUAAAACUUUCUAACAGGAUCUGUUUCUCAGACUCUGACUAACGCAGAGUCAGCUUCCCAAAGCUGAACUUCUCCAGGUUUAUUUCCCAGAAAGUGAGAGUUGUUGUCCUUCAGUGGACGGCGUCCCGACCUGGACGUCUCGUCAUCAGGCUGUCCCACUCAAACACACGGCUCAGUCAGAAAACCACACAGCUUCCUGUUGCUCUCUCUCGCUCUGCUGCAGGAGAAACCCAGACUGACUUCCUGCAGCUGGAAGCGGCUUGCAGAGGUUCUGCUGACGGCACCGAGCAGCAGAACCUGGGAGCUGUAAAUAAAGGUUUGGGAUAAACAGGACAGAUUUAUAUUUGAUGGUUUCGGCUCGGCGGACGCUCCGGCCUCAGAUCUCCAGGUGAAAACAUUUAGGAAAGUAUGUGGACCCACCCUGAGCCGGCCUGCAUGGCUGGAGGAUUACGGAGCCGACAGCAGAUCUUUGGACCCGGUUCUGCAGUCAAAUCAGGUCAGGACCGUCUCAGACGUUAUCCUGCUUCGAUGCAGCCGGAUCGGACCGCCGUCGUCCCGGUACCGACGGGACGGUUCAUCCAUCCGAGUCCGAAAAGAAACACCUGAUUUAUUUUUACGGUGUAAAACAGAAAGUUCAAAUGAAAACACCGAGGUGAGGAAGAUCACAGCUGGAUCGCCUCAGGAAGAACUGCUGGUUCUGGUUCUGGUUCUGGAACAUUUGUCUACAGAAACAAUCAUCAGAAAUCAAAUUAAACUUUCCUCUGUAAGAAAAGUUUUUCUCUGAAUCCAUCA
Long non-coding RNA from Xiphophorus hellerii (green swordtail), 5239 nucleotides. RefSeq lists it as uncharacterized. The record is from RefSeq and is a predicted model, not a curated record. The transcript is spliced from 2 exons. NCBI's taxonomy places the organism in Eukaryota, Metazoa, Chordata, Actinopteri, Cyprinodontiformes, Poeciliidae.